This 464-nucleotide ribosomal RNA is filed under the name uncultured bacterium. Its description in RNAcentral is "partial 16S ribosomal RNA". It matches the Rfam family "Bacterial small subunit ribosomal RNA", at positions 338 to 795 of the family's 1533-position model. The record is from RNAcentral.
CCUACGGGUGACAGCAGUGGGGAAUCUUCCGCAAUGGGCGAAAGCCUGACGGAGCAACGCCGCGUGUACGAAUGAAGGCCUUCGGGUGGAAAAGAUCUGCUGACAGGGACGAAUAAGCAAGGCAAAUAGCUUUGUGUAUGACGGUACCUGUUUAGAAAGCCACGGCUAACUACGUGCCAGCAGCCGCGGUAAUACGUAGGGAGCAAGCGUUGUCCGGAAUUACUGGGCGUAAAGGGCGCGUAGGUGGGCGCUUAAGUCAGGUGUGAAAACUCCGGGCUCAACCUGGAGACUGCACUUGAAACUGGUUGUCUUGAGGGCAGGAGAGGAAAGUAGAAUUCCUAGUGUAGCGGUGAAAUGCGUAGAGAUGAGGAGGAACACCAGUGGCGAAGGCGACUUUCUGGACUAUACCUGACGCUGAGGCGCGAAAGCGUGGGUAGCGAACGGGAUUAGAUACCCCUGUAGUC